CUCAGCCUCACAACCCUGGCUUGCCUGUUGUCAUCAGAUUCUCUGAGCUUCUGGAACUAUCAUGCAUGCAGGUCUCUGCACCCCUGGUUUCUUCCCUUCUUCCUUGUUUUGUUCAAAGCACUGAAGCUUAAAAAAAAAAAAGCCAGAACUACGUCUUUCAACGUGAACCACGUCCUGCUCUCAUUAAUUCCACCCUUGGGGACUUAGCUGCCAGCCUGAAGGAAGCUGGUGACUAUACAAGUCAAAGGUCCCCCGGGCCUGUAACCAAGUCAUUGCUAAGGACUCUAUCAAGGACACUGAGAUGGAAAUGCCGGGAGAGCCAGCUGCAAAUCUUGGGCAGACCCUGGAGUGGCUGAGGGAGAAGCUGGCCGAGAUGCAGAUCCAAGACCAGCAGCUGCUGCUCACACUGAGGCAUCUGCACAGCCUCCUGGAGGAGCUUCGAGCUGAAAGCACCCACUGGGAGGACACAAGGCCCAGCAGAAGUACAUCACCUUUCCGAGAGAGGCUGGGAUCAGAGGGAAGAGCCUGCCAGCCUGUGCCGAGGCAACUGACCCAGCUGCUCCAAGGGGAAAAGAGCAGGCGAAGCUCCCUUCCUUAACCAGCUAGAGGGUGCUCAUAGAAACCCUCCUACCACUAGUAUAAACCAUGUGUCAGCUGUGUGUCCUUGAAUCUGUCAUUUAACUGUCUAUGUCACUUGCCAGAGGGUAUGUGUGUGUGUGUGUGUGUGUGUGUGUGAGAGAGAGAGAGAGAGAGAGAGAGAGAGAGAGAAAUUAUUGGAGGCAUACAUGCUUUAUAAGUACAACUCUGUUACAUAGCUUCCAGCAAGUUGUCACCAUGGGUGAUAACCCUAGCUCUAGUAAUUUUUCACGGGGCAGUUGUUAAAGAUAGAGUAUGAUGUACAAAGAGGGUUACCUACUGUUGCCUUGGCGAAAAAUCAGAACAUCUGUAAUGACUUCCUAUUUUCUGUGUUCCUGUUAGGCCUUUCUUGUCCGCCUUAAUCUGAUAGCAAAAGGUUGCACCACAGAUCACAGAGAGGAGCAUGUCAGAUAUGUAAUUCAUGUUGGCUCGAACAUCAUAAUUCAUCAUUGGCUUAAUUCAUGGGCAUGUGACUCAACAAAGCCAACCACAGUCCUUCCUUGGGGUUGCUGUCUGGAUACUGCCAACCACACUUCCACAGUUAGUUUGAUUUCUUUUAGGCUGUGCUGAUCUUUGCCAGUAAGCAGUGUAGGAUUAGCCUCCAGAGCAAGAGGUGAAAAGAGAGACCAAUUCCUUUGUCCCCUGCAGUAUCUUAGAGGUCUCUUGCAACCCUUGGUGUCACCCACCAAAGAUGCUUCACCUCAGCACGUGGCACCAGCCCUGUCCAAGUCCAAGGCCCAGCCUGGAGGCCCCCUCUAUGCUCAGAACCCCCUUCUCAGAUGACUGCAGGCCAGCUCUACGGAGCUCCCGUCUGUGUGGUUUAAAUUGUAAUCCUUCGGCUUCAUUGUUCCCUAGCACUGGGUAGAUUCUUUCUGUAAUUGUUAGCUUGGAGUUCUUUUUAUAAUUUCUCAUCUACUCAGUUAACUUUAUUUUAUUUUAUUUUUUUUUGUUUUUUCUUUUUUUUUAAAGAGGAAGUGUUGGAAACAAGCAGAAGAAACUUAUUCUAGGUACUACCAUUUUGUUUUCAGACUCCAUUUAAUCAUAGCAAGAAACUAAAUUCAAGGUCCUAGUCUCUAGGGGAACUGAGGACUUCACCAUAGCUGAACAGCUUCUAUUAUAAGGAAACAAUUGUCUAAGUCCAGACAUCUCAGGGACAACUUGUAAGUGAAGUGUUGUCUGAGUCCAGACAUGUCAAGGACAACUUCUCCAUCUUGCUGGCAGGGUCAAUCUGAGUUCCUGUUCCCAGGCCCUGGAACCAACUCCUAUCCUGACUGAUGAAAACUCUUUUGCUCCAACCUCUUAUGUCAAACUAUGAUUGGACAGUGCUCCAGCCAGCCUACCUCUUCCCCUUGCUUUGUGGUCUCAUCCUUUAAAUAUGCUGUGCAAUUUCUCUUCAGGGGUGCAGUUCAGCUCCCGAGUCUGGUCUGUGGCAUUGAUUGAUCAGUAGUGGCUUGAUUACAAUAAAUUUUUGUCAUCUGCAUUGA
This 2120-nucleotide long non-coding RNA is filed under the name Mus pahari (shrew mouse). RNAcentral describes it as "lncRNA (MGP_PahariEiJ_G0003374.1)". The record is from RNAcentral. Lineage: Eukaryota; Metazoa; Chordata; Mammalia; Rodentia; Muridae.